GGCGAACGGGUGAGUAAUGCAUCGGAACGUGUCCUGUUGUGGGGGAUAACUGAUCGAAAGAUCAGCUAAUACCGCAUGAGACCUGAGGGUGAAAGCGGGGGAUCGCAAGACCUCGCGCGACAGGAGCGGCCGAUGUCUGAUUAGCUAGUUGGUGAGAUAAAAGCUUACCAAGGCGACGAUCAGUAGCUGGUCUGAGAGGAUGAUCAGCCACAUUGGGACUGAGACACGGCCCAGACUCC
Molecule: ribosomal RNA, 239 nt
Filed under: uncultured beta proteobacterium
Lineage: Bacteria; Pseudomonadati; Pseudomonadota; Betaproteobacteria
Description: partial 16S ribosomal RNA
Rfam family: Bacterial small subunit ribosomal RNA
Source: RNAcentral